RNAcentral lists this ribosomal RNA (325 nucleotides) under uncultured bacterium. RNAcentral's name for it is "bacterial SSU rRNA". It matches the Rfam family "Bacterial small subunit ribosomal RNA", at positions 35 to 334 of the family's 1533-position model. The record is from RNAcentral.
GAUGAACGGCUGGCGGCGUGCUUAACACAUGCAAGUCGAACGGGAAACGAUUUUAUUGAAGCUUCGGCAGAUUUAGCUUGUUUCUAGUGGCGGACGGGUGAGUAACGCGUGGGUAACCUGCCUCACACUGGGGGAUAACAGUCAGAAAUGACUGCUAAUACCGCAUAAGCGCACGGAACCGCAUGGUUUUGUGUGAAAAACUCCGGUGGUGUGAGAUGGACCCGCGUUGGAUUAGCUAGUUGGUAAGGUAACGGCUUACCAAGGCGACGAUCAGUAGCCGACCUGAGAGGGUGACCGGCCACAUUGGGACUGAGACACGGCCCAA